CAACCCUCGCGCCCAUCUGGGCUGCGGUGUUGGGGACCGGCCUGCCCCCCGGGGCGCGCCGCCCCCCAAAAUCAGUGGCGGUCCCGCUGCAGCCUCCCUUGCGUAGUAGCACCCCCCGCACCGGGGCGCCGCGCGGCCACGCCGUAAAACCCCCGACCCCCAUGA
This 165-nucleotide unclassified non-coding RNA is filed under the name uncultured Rosasphaeria. Its description in RNAcentral is "sequence contains ITS2". The record is from RNAcentral. Lineage: Eukaryota; Fungi; Ascomycota; Sordariomycetes; Hypocreales; Niessliaceae.